RNAcentral lists this ribosomal RNA (484 nucleotides) under uncultured bacterium. Its description in RNAcentral is "partial 16S ribosomal RNA". It matches the Rfam family "Bacterial small subunit ribosomal RNA", at positions 30 to 507 of the family's 1533-position model. The record is from RNAcentral.
AUUGAACGCUGGCGGCAGGCCUAACACAUGCAAGUCGAGCGGAUGAAGGGAGCUUGCUUCUGGAUUCAGCGGCGGACGGGUGAGUAAUGCCUAGGAAUCUGCCUGGUAGUGGGGGAUAACGUCCGGAAACGGGCGCUAAUACCGCAUACGUCCUGAGGGAGAAAGUGGGGGAUCUUCGGACCUCACGCUAUCAGAUGAGCCUAGGUCGGAUUAGCUAGUUGGUGGGGUAAAGGCCUACCAAGGCGACGAUCCGUAACUGGUCUGAGAGGAUGAUCAGCCACACUGGAACUGAGACACGGUCCAGACUCCUACGGGAGGCAGCAGUGGGGAAUAUUGGACAAUGGGCGAAAGCCUGAUCCAGCCAUGCCGCGUGUGUGAAGAAGGUCUUCGGAUUGUAAAGCACGUUAAGUUGGGAGGAAGGGCAGUAAGUUAAUACCUUGCUGUUUUGACGUUACCAACAGAAUAAGCACCGGCUAACUUCGUG